ACACACACACACACACAAAACUCCAUACUAUCCUGAGAAUUCUAUAUAACUCUUUCAAGAUUCACAAACCGCAAGACGCCCCACACGACCACCCCAUUUGACAACAACCGAGACUAGAAAUCUCAUUUUUUUUAAAGGAAGAAAGGAAACAAAAUGGAAAGGGACUCCAACCAAAAUACAAUUUAGAUGACUCCCACUCUCUAUCAGCCCAGAAGAAAUUCAAUCCAAGAACUCACUGUGUUUAAAUGUUACCAAGACAUGGAUGGAAGAGAGGUCAACUUCAUAUCAAAAUCUCUGAUAAUAUCAUCAUCCGGCUACUCAUCAUCCUUCUUCUCUGCAUCUGAUUUUUCUGGCUCAUCCUUGGGGCCAUCCUCUUUCUUAGCUUUGGCGGGUUCCUCCCCGGCCUUAUCUUCAGCGUUUUUUUCUUCAACACUCAAUUUCUCAAGUAAUCCAGCUGCAGCAGAUGCAUCUUUAUUUUCCUCUUUCUUCUGUUGGGACUCAGCAAUUUCUUGGAACGUUUCCAUGAAAGAUUUGCAGUUCUCAAUAGAUGGAAAUCUGAUACAGAAAAGCUCAUCUUUCAAUUCGCCAUCAGCGAAGUCAGUCGCAUGCCACACGCAGGAUUUGUCAUUUCCAGCGUGUUCCUGAACCGUCAUUGUUGGGAGCACAAGAUGAUUAGCACAGAUCUUAAGCGUUUUAGACUGCCUCAUAACAAGGCGAACCUUUCCAGUCUGCUUAUGUUUCAAAAACUUAACAGUACCAGCACCCCUCUCCUUCCAUUGGUUUCCAUCUUUAUCGAAUCGAUACAGUUUUGCCUUCAGAUCGAGAACAGCGUCCUCAUCUUCUUCACCGGUGGUAACGUCGACCGCCUCCAACUUGACGAUCGGGGCGACUUGAGCUCCAGUGUCUUCAUCUUCUCCGGCAGGAGCCUCCUCGUCGUCUCUGCGUUCAGGAUCGGUGCUGGCCAUAGAUGAAGCUUUGUUGUUUACAGAAAUGGAUCGGGAUUUGGGGGAAAGCAAUGACAG
RNAcentral lists this unclassified non-coding RNA (1022 nucleotides) under Hevea brasiliensis (rubber tree). The record is from RNAcentral. Lineage: Eukaryota; Viridiplantae; Streptophyta; Magnoliopsida; Malpighiales; Euphorbiaceae.